ACUGAAUUAUGCCUGGCAGAGGAAAGCUUGUGAAUUCUGGAUUAGGUCUCCGGCAGGUACCAAGAUUCAGCUGACCUUCGUCAAGAUGGCUAUGUUCUCCAGAUGCUCUGUGAACAGCGUCAUUGUAAAUAAAGAUGGUGACGUCGCUUAUCCCACGGAUUCCAGCAAUACAUUCUGUGGAACGGCCCUUCCACCACCAAUCACGUCUUCAGCAAAUGCAAUCAAUGUGCUCUUCUUCAGCACAACAGAUAGUAAGGUCUUCAAAGCCAAUUGGUCCGUGGUUGCAGCAUAAAACUCGAGAAUCCUGAACUACCGGCCUACCUGACAUCAGCAGCAUUUCAUCAACUUAAUUUUGAGAGUAAUUUUGAACUCUAAGGGUUAAUAUUACACCUAUAUCAUGAAAGAGUAACCCACUUUGAAACCUGAAAUGAUACACAUGUAACGAUAUGGCACUGGGCAGCCCAUCUUUUGGCCUGCUAUUUUAAUCAAAUAAAGGUAAUUGCAUCAU
Macrobrachium nipponense is the source of this 508-nucleotide long non-coding RNA. RefSeq lists it as uncharacterized. NCBI's taxonomy places the organism in Eukaryota, Metazoa, Arthropoda, Malacostraca, Decapoda, Palaemonidae. The transcript has 2 exons. The record is from RefSeq and is a predicted model, not a curated record.